RNAcentral lists this ribosomal RNA (420 nucleotides) under uncultured bacterium. RNAcentral describes it as "bacterial SSU rRNA". It matches the Rfam family "Bacterial small subunit ribosomal RNA", at positions 355 to 767 of the family's 1533-position model. The record is from RNAcentral.
UGGGGAAUUUUGGACAAUGGGCGCAAGCCUGAUCCAGCCAUUCCGCGUGCAGGACGAAGGCCUUCGGGUUGUAAACUGCUUUUGUACGGAACGAAAAGGCUCUGGCUAAUACCUGGGGCUCAUGACGGUACCGUAAGAAUAAGCACCGGCUAACUACGUGCCAGCAGCCGCGGUAAUACGUAGGGUGCAAGCGUUAAUCGGAAUUACUGGGCGUAAAGCGUGCGCAGGCGGUUAUGUAAGACAGAGGUGAAAUCCCCGGGCUCAACCUGGGAACUGCCUUUGUGACUGCAUAGCUGGAGUACGGCAGAGGGGGAUGGAAUUCCGCGUGUAGCAGUGAAAUGCGUAGAUAUGCGGAGGAACACCCAUGUCGAAGGCAAUCCCCUGGGCCUGUACUGACGCUCAUGCACGAAAGCGUGGGGA